GUGCUUGCUUUGGCAGCACAUAUACUAAAAUUGGAAUGAUACAGAGAAGAUUAGCAUGGCCCCUGUGCCAGGUUGACAAAAACAAAAACCAAAAAACUUAUGUCUAA
Small nuclear RNA from Lemur catta (Ring-tailed lemur), 107 nucleotides. The record is from RefSeq and is a predicted model, not a curated record. Lineage: Eukaryota; Metazoa; Chordata; Mammalia; Primates; Lemuridae.